AUGAAGCUGGAAUUGCUAGUAAUGGCAGGUCAGCAUACUGCCGUGAAUACGUUCCCGGGCCUUGUACGCACCGCCCGUCACACCAUGAGAGUUGGGAAUACCCGAAGCCUGUGAGCUAACUUAUAGAGGCAGUAGUCGAAGGUAGAAUCAAUGAUUGGGGUGAAGUCGUAACAAGGUACC
Molecule: ribosomal RNA, 180 nt
Filed under: uncultured bacterium
Lineage: Bacteria
Description: partial 16S ribosomal RNA
Rfam family: Bacterial small subunit ribosomal RNA
Source: RNAcentral